This is a long non-coding RNA of Anthonomus grandis grandis, 884 nucleotides long. RefSeq lists it as uncharacterized. The record is from RefSeq and is a predicted model, not a curated record. The transcript is spliced from 3 exons. Lineage: Eukaryota; Metazoa; Arthropoda; Insecta; Coleoptera; Curculionidae.
ACAUAUGCAUUUUUGAAUUGAUAAAUGGAAAAAACUUAAAUAGUGCAAAGCUUUUAAAGACGGCGCAAGAAAUUCCAAAAGUAUUUCCUCUUGAGAGUCCGGACGUGUAUAUGAUUCAUCACCAAAACGGAGGUCCUAAAGGAAAAUUAUCGCACAGAUAUUAUAACAUAAGAAAAGCCAUUAAACUGGCUGAUGGCCAUAAAAGUCCAGGAGACAAAGAAAAUUCAGUAACCGAAAAUUUCAAUUUUAAUUCAAACGAGUCCUCGAAAUAUUUGGAUUUCUUUCGUAAUCUUUCGUAAAAAUCUUAGAAGCCCGCAGAAAGGAUCAACAGGAAGAAUCCGAAAAAAUUUGUAUAGAAAUAAAAACAUUGUUGAAGUUUUUGAUAAUUUUCCGUGCUUGAAAUUUACUACUGGAACGCAACUGCUGAAAAUUGAUUUUAACCUUCAAUAUGGCGAUAAAAUUGAUAUAAUUUAUACAACUUUUCCCAAAGUAAGAAAUGCCAUACUAGAGGAAUGUAAGGAAAGGCAGAUUAAAUUGGACACAAUUUAUGAAGAUCCUAAUCUCCUGGGUAUCAUUUCCCUAGUUUAUCUGUUUCCACCUAUUACUCUAAGAAAAACUAGAAAAAGAGGAAAUUGGAGGCCCACAAGAGGUGAAAUCCUAAGCAGUUUCUUUAUGCAGGUGGAAGUAUGUAUUUUUUAAAAUUUAGUUUAUGUGUAAAAAUAUGUAGGAUCUUUAGUUAAAAAGGCAUUUUUGUGUAUCUAAUUUUCGAAUAAAUGUUUUUUCAUAAUCAUUUUAUUCCAGUACUUUUUCAUCUAUUUUUUUAUGUAUAAUAAUUAAUACUUUUUGUUAUGGUAUGAUUGUAAAAAUAUAGUAUUUUGGUUUAA